This 253-nucleotide ribosomal RNA is filed under the name uncultured bacterium. RNAcentral describes it as "partial 16S ribosomal RNA". It matches the Rfam family "Bacterial small subunit ribosomal RNA", at positions 524 to 776 of the family's 1533-position model. The record is from RNAcentral.
UACAGAGGGUGCAAGCGUUAUUCGGAAUUACUGGGCGUAAAGGGUGCGUAGGCGGAUUCGUAAGUCAGGGGUGAAAGCCUAGGGCUUAACGACGGAAUUGCCUAUGAUACUGUAUAUCUUGAGUGGGGAAGAGGUCAGUAGAAUGCAGCAUGUAGAGGUGAAAUGCGUAGAUAUGAGACAGAACACCGAUUGCGAAGGCGGCUGGCUGGGCCUAUACUGACGCUGAGGCGCGAAAGCGUGGGGAGCAAACAGG